UGACCCGUCUUGAAACACGGACCANGGAGUCUAACGUACGNGCGAGUUUUCGAGUUUGAAAACUCUAUCGGCGGUCGUACUUCGGUGCGACCGUCGUCGAAGAAGCGAAAUGAAAGUGAAUUAUCUAGACGGCGUUAAAACCGUCUGGCGCGAUCCCGACGUUGCUUUACGGCUGCGUCGGGCGCAGCGCCGGCCCGUCCACGUCCGCUUAAUUUGACGGCGGGACGGAGUCAGAGCACGGGCGUUGGGACCCGAAAGAUGGUGAACUAUGCUUGGACAGGACGAAGCCGGAGGAAACUCUGGUGGAGGUUCGAAGCGAUUCUGACGUGCAAAUCGAUCGUCAGAUCCGAGUAUANGGGCGAAAGACUAAUCCAACCAUCUAGUAGCUGGUUCCUUCCGA
This 400-nucleotide ribosomal RNA is filed under the name Pauropodidae gen. sp. RNAcentral's name for it is "eukaryotic LSU rRNA". It matches the Rfam family "Eukaryotic large subunit ribosomal RNA", at positions 645 to 964 of the family's 3401-position model. The record is from RNAcentral. Lineage: Eukaryota; Metazoa; Arthropoda; Pauropoda; Tetramerocerata; Pauropodidae.